GGAAUCUUGCGCAAUGGGCGAAAGCCUGACGCAGCAACGCCGCGUGCGGGAAGAAGGCUUUCGGGCUGUAAACCGCUUUCAGUAGGAACGAAACUGACGGUACCUACAGAAGAAGGAGCGGCCAACUAUGUGCCAGCAGCCGCGGUGACACAUAGGCUCCAAGCGUUGUCCGGAUUUAUUGGGCGUAAAGAGCUCGUAGGCGGUUGAGUAAGUCGGGUGUGAAAACUUUGGGCUUAACCCAAAGACGCCACUCGAUACUGCUUUGACUUGAGUUCGGUAGGGGAGUGGGGAAUUCCUUGUGUAGCGGUGAAAUGCGCAGAUAUAAGGAGGAACACCGGUGGCGAAGGCGCCACUCUGGGCCGAUACUGACGCUGAGGAGCGAAAGCGUGGGGAGCAAACAGGAUUAGAUACCCUGGUAGUCCACGCGGUAAACGGUGGUCACUAGGUGUGGGUCUCUACCAAUGAGAUCUGCGCCGUCGCUAACGCAUUAAGUGACCCGCCUGGGGAGUACGGUCGCAAGACUAAAACUCAAAUGAAUUGACGG
This 544-nucleotide ribosomal RNA is filed under the name uncultured bacterium. RNAcentral describes it as "bacterial SSU rRNA". It matches the Rfam family "Bacterial small subunit ribosomal RNA", at positions 358 to 916 of the family's 1533-position model. The record is from RNAcentral.